GACGAACGUUGGCGGCGUGCCUAAUACAUGCAAGUCAACUGAAGCACGGUAGCAAUACUGUGCGGAGGUGGCGCACGGGUGAGUAACACGUAGGUAAUCUGCCUUCAGGUCUGGCAUAACCCCGGGAAACGGGCUAUAUCAGAUGAUGCAGCGGCUUGACAUCAAGACAGUUGUUAAAGCUAACCGAGCAAUCGGUGGCGCCUGAAGAUGAGCCUGCGUCUGAUUAGCUAGUUGGCGGAGUAACAGCCCACCAAGGCUUCGAUCAGUA
Molecule: ribosomal RNA, 268 nt
Filed under: uncultured bacterium
Lineage: Bacteria
Description: partial 16S ribosomal RNA
Rfam family: Bacterial small subunit ribosomal RNA
Source: RNAcentral